RNAcentral lists this long non-coding RNA (6262 nucleotides) under Gallus gallus (chicken). Lineage: Eukaryota; Metazoa; Chordata; Aves; Galliformes; Phasianidae. The record is from RNAcentral.
AAGGAACUGUAAUAAACAGUGUGAACAAGUUCAGACAUUUGUUCUUGUUUCAUAAUGAUGCUUAGAAAGAGAAACUGGCUGAAAACAUUACAAGGAAUUGACCAGGUUUUAGCUUGCAAAAAGAUGAACUUUCCUUUCUGUUACAAGCAACUGAAAGUAUUAAAAAACUUCAAUUUGAAAUACUCUGCUUUCUUAGUAUUUGCAUUAAUUAAAGCUGCACCUUUUGUCUUUUAAGUACUAUUACAACAAGUCAUGGAAUGUACAAACCUUAAGUUCCUUAGAAUAAUGGUGUGAAGGGAGGAAUAAUUGCAAACUGAAGAUAAUUCAUAUUGCACAGGUACGAGGAUAAGCAAUAAUCGCAUUUUUCAUCCAUAUUAGCCAAAUGUAAUCUCUUUUUGCAACAACAGAGGAAGAUGAGUGAGAGUCUGAGUGAUGUAAUCUGAAAAGUUGACAAGAAUAAAUCUGUGUUAAGCAGAUCUUUUAAUCCUGGUAGCCUUGACAGCCGGCACAGCUGAGGAGAGCUGGGGGAAUUGCGUGCCUGUUUCUGCCUCAUCACCACCGCUGUGUCCUCAGCACAGCAGUCGGCCUUUUGCCCAGCCUGCCGAGGGACUUUCAUGGAGUCCCACGUGCUUGUUCUAGGAUCAGGUCGCCAACUUGUCUCCUUCCUAGUCGUCUGUCACUACCCAUAAUGGCAUUUUCCUGCCCACUGGUGAUAUAAAUGCAAGGAAAAGCUCCUAGGUGAGCAUCUGACACCUGCGAGUUUGUAGGACUUCUGCCAGAGGAUUUGUCCUCUGAUGGGAUUGCGGUUUUUCAGGAGGUAAGGACCAAAGUCAUUCUGUGACCCACCAGUGACAUUCUUAUGUGGGGUGUCUUCAGUGUAGAAAACCAAUUUAAAAAACAAAAUAGAGCAGCUUUUAAAGUAGCCCCUCAGCUGUAGUGUAUCUUCAAAACCCUUUAGGUGUCUGAUACUGCAGUAAGGAAUUCUGUUCUUUUUUAUUUGAUCAGGCAACAGCUAUUUUUCAACCUAUGUUAGUGAACUUAGUCACGUUUGUGUAAGUGAAUGUUUUGAGGUGUUUAUUUUGAUCAGUGUUAAACCUCAAGUAAAUCGAGCAGCACAAAUAUGUUCUGUGCCAUGUUCUGGAAGUAGGGAUUCUGGAAAAACAUCAAUAUCAUAUACUGGGGGGAGAGGGAGAAACAAAAACAGAAAAGAAAGGAGGUCCGGGAAAGUAAAUAACAGCGGUAUGUUAGAAGGCUGCAUUUAUAUUAAAGCCACCUGCAGGAGAGCAGUGCAUUUAGCAGUUCUUAGUUCUUGCAGUAGUGUCCCGCGCGACCUUGGCUGGGUGCUUGGUGGGGUGACUGAUGGUUCACCGCGCUCUUUUUUCCUGGUGACUUGCCUGUUGCCUGCCUCUGGGUCUGUGAUUCCCCUUAUGCUGACUUCUGCAGUAUUCCUUCGGUCUCUUAUCUCAGGGCUUUGAUGCAUAUGUUCUGAAGGUGGCCACUGUGACUUUGGGUGGCAGCAGAUGGUAAACCUUCAGGCUGCCACCGGCUAUACUGGUGUUAAGUUAGAAACUUAACGUUUGAUGAAGAAUCAGUAGUGCAUAUGAAAGAGCUUUUACUGCAGAAAUAUCUUUUAAUUAAAAAAAAUUAGCAUACUGAAACAUUUGCUAAUUUCCGUGCAUUUAAAAAUCCUGAAAUUAACUGUUUUCUUAAAGCCAGACUAUCGUUAUUUACCAGGCAGGUUUUAUUUUGUUUUUCUCCAAUUAAUUGUACCUUCUGCACUGAAUUUAUUUUAAUUUAUUUUCUACUAAGCUGUUGGGUACACUGUAAAUUAAAUCUAAGAAGCUAAAUGUUUUAAGUAGCUGCUGUCAGCAUCAGUAUUAAGCCUUGACUUAACCCCCCCUCCCCAGCAGAGCAAACCAAACAACAAAAACCCAAACAAACAAAAAUCUUAAAAUCACAAGUAGAAAAGUGUUGCUAUCUGCUAGUUUACUGAGAUGCUGCCAUGCAAUGUUGCAGUGUUCACCUGUGUUUUAGUAUGUGCCUGAGAACUUAACUGCUUACACAAAAUAGGGAUGAGUGGUGUAGACACUUAUUUACCAUAUACAUUUGUGGAAAUUGCUGUUUUGCUGUCAGAUUUGUUUUUUUUUUUUCCCCACACCAUUUUGAGCUCAUCAUCAAUGCACAAAAAUAGGGAAAAAAUGGGUAAGCAACAGAGCUGCAAAAGCCAGCGUGAUGUGUAGACCUUGACUGUGUUUGUACAUUAGUAUUACAAAUAGGAUUUUGCCUGGUCUCCUUUUGUGUCACAGUCUAGUUGCUCAGUGCCCAGGAAUGCCCUGCUGUGCAUUUUUCUCCCUCCCCCCUGAGAUUAGGAUGCUGCAUGUUACAGUUGACAGCUCAUUGUUAUGAGGUAUUAAAAAUUACACCUUACACAGUAGUUGUCAUCACCGAAACAGGUUCCAUCAGCUUACUGCAAGUCAGGAGCAGCCCAGUCUAGUACAGGCAUCUCAGUGUGAUCUGCUCUGGGGAAGGACAGAGCUGUGCAAUGGGGAAUGUUUUGUGGAAUCCUGUUUUGUCCCACUGUGUCGUUCUGGUGGAGGUUUGUCAUUUUGUAUUUUAAAAAGGACUCUUAGAAAAAGAAUUGCCGAUGAACUUGCAAGCAUUUCCCUUUUGCAAUGGGAAGAAAAUGUGAAGGAAUGCAAAUAGGUAAGACUUGUUGGGGUACAUGGUUGUCCAGAACCUGGCUAUGAAGAGCAAAGCAAGGAAGAUAAGUUGGCACUUGGGUCAAUGAUGGUGUUACUGUUGGGCAGCAGCCUGGAUAAUGCAUCCAAGGGCUGCAAAUGUGCUUGGGACAGUCUCCUUCCUGCUCUUUCCCCCUCCUAAAAUAUCCGUUUCCUGGUCAGUGAUUUAAUCAUUCUUGUAUUUGUUAAAUUGUUUGGAUGAAUCUGGUUAAGCCACCUUUUUGUAAUAUGCAUGCAGGCUGCCUGUCUUAGAAAUAUAUUCUUGUUUUGUAUGGGCCCCUGGAAAUUCCAUGGUCUGCCAGGGUCAAAUGCAGUAUCACUGGGCAAAAAGUUCCUUUCAUGGUUCUUGCUGGGCUGCUUGGGAUCGAUCUCCUGUGAAGUUAACGAUCUUGUAGAAAAGUAAGUAUUGAAUCAGCAAACAAAUAAUUUGCCAUUAAAUAAAGUGGAGCUGUAACUUUUCAUCACUGAGGGAAAGCUAUGAUGCUUGAUGGGAAAGCUGGUUAGUAAGACUGGUUGGUCCGUCUAGGUAGUUAACCUCAAAAGUGCGCAAACGUUAUUUGUUAUUACUGUUAUAAAACUGUGGCUGCUACUUUCAAUUUGAUGUUGUAAUAUAACAACAGAUGAAGGCAGCCCUAAAGGGACCCGUUGUCUGCUUUAUUCCCGUUAGUCGUAGUCAUUCUAUAUGUCAUCUUAUAGGGUGAGGGCUCAGUAAUCUGUUCUGUUUCACCAUAUGCUAAUACAGUGCUGAUAAGCAAGUGUGAAAAAUGAAAGGGAGGAAUACAUUAAUUGUAUUUGUGCAAUAAGGUAUGCUAUCAAAGGUAAUUAUUUCAUGACAGUUUUAGUUAUAGCAGUUGUUUUAUCAUGAAAUAAAGGAUGGCUUUAGGAGACUUUUAUUGGAAAGACAAUUGUAUCAAAUUAGUACCAAAUUAGAUUUUUGCCUUUAUAAAGGUGAGCAAACCCAUGAGCAGUUUUUAAAUUGGUGUCUUCUACUCUACAAAUGAAUGAAUCCUGUCUGAGGGUUAAAGAAGCUAUUAUUCUGUCCUUUAUGCUGACAGCUUCAUUACUGAUAGGCCUACUGUUGGUAUUAAAAAAAUGUUUGGCUCCUUAUGAUCUUUGUGCGUGCAACUAUAAUAUUAAUACAGACCACAGAACUGUUCAUUAAGAUAUGACUUUAAAUGAGGUUGAUGCUUGUAAAUCUGGAGAGAUACAGAUGUUAAAUGCUGCCAUUCCUUUUCCUAUGCAGCUGUGUGGCUAAUAAUUUCCAAGUGGCUAAAGCUCUUGUUAGCAAGAGUGCUGGUGUGUUAAGAAUGGCCCUAUAAAUAACUUUAAGAACUGAAGUUGAAGGUGCUUCUUUUAAAGACUAUUGUUAACUAAACAUUAUUGCCAAACAGAUGGAAAGCAUUCACCAGCCUGAUGUUUUUAGGUCUAAUUAUAUUAUCGCCACUCCUGGUACGGCUCAGUUGAAGAGGUGUAUCCAGAGGCCAAUUUAUAAUCAUUUAGCCAACACCUGUUUGGGAGAUAUUGACAGUCAAAGGGCACAUUUAAAAAAAAAUCACAUAUGUUCUUGUAUUUAUUGCCUCAAUGUGAACAGUGUCUAAGCACAAAUAAACUUGGGAUAAGAAGAAAGUGACAGUAAACACAUGAUAGUUUUGAACUCUUUUUUAUCUGUCUUCUUCUGGCACCUCUUGCAAAGUGGCUUUUAUUUUUUCUCUUGCUCUUUUGGUUUUCUUUAUUGUUUGUAUAUCAUUUUAAUUCUAUGCCUUUUAGUUAAGUAAGGAUAACUAAAAUCAGUUUUACAGUUACCAUUUCUUCAGCUUGUUUCUGGAAGAUCCAAUUAAGAGACCUGAAAGAUUGUUUGGAGAAACUCCGUGAUGUUGGACAUGUGCCAUUCACAUGGAAAUGACAUCUCAUUUCUUUCUCAAAAGUUGUCCCUAAUAGCAACAUCUGAUGAUAUUUUUUCACUGGAAGAUAAAGAAAGGCUUUGAAUACUAGGUGCAACCCUAGUAGAAGAGGAGGUCUUUGAGAAGGAAAAGUGGCUCUCCCUUUAUUUCUUUCAGUGAAAUUUGGUGAGAGCAAUGAUGUGGAAAGACUCCAACUCUCUUUCUCUUCCUAGAGUGAGAUGGAGAGAGAAUGAGGGCAGUGUGUGGAAUGUGGCCAUCUGAAAAAGCGGUACUUGUCUUGCUGCAGCCACAGCUUUGGGAAGGUCUGCACAGUGCUACUCUGAAACCUACCCUUGUGGUACUUAUGUACAUCUUCACCUUGCUGCAGGCACUGCACGUGAUGGCUCUUCUGGCAGAAGAGGAAGUCAGAAGGUGCAGAGAAAGUCAAUGAGUGAACUUGUUAGGCUUUACCCUACAAGGGCCCCUGGGUCCAUCACCGCCCCACAGAGUAGAAACAGGGGAGACUGAAUGCUGUAUUGUCCUUAUCCUGUCACCUGGCGAACCCAGAACCGUGUUGCUCCAACACAUCAUUCCUCUACAAGGAGUCUUUCUUGAUGAACCUCUAAGUGCAGUUGCUGCAUCUUGUCCAUUGAACAAUGAGUUUGGUAACCCCAGUGCUGGCAUUUUCAGCCCUUCAGGCUUUUAAUUUUUCUGCGUAAGUAUUUUGGUGUAACCAGAUCUGACUAUUUACACCAGGUACUUACAAUGUCUGUUGUAAAUGAGCAGUGAGUGCGUACUCUUGUUCUUGUUCUUAGAGGAGAGUUGAUCUUGUGCUUGCCCUUGUUUUUAUGGCUGUCUUGCAGCUGGUGCUUUUCAAAUACAUCCAUGUUCUUGGAGUUUACAAACAAUUCCUAAGUGUGUGUGAUUUGAAGAAAGAGGUGCAGAGAGUUCCAGCUCCCUGAAGAUAAACUUUCCAAAAUAUAUAUGUACAUAAUUCUUGGCUGUUUUGUUUUCAGCAUAUAAAUAAACAGAUCUUGCUAAGAGGCAGGACAUAGUCUAGUACUCCUGUCAUCAUUGUGUUGUACUUUCAGUAGAGGUAAUGCAGUCAUAAUAGAGAUGUUCUCUGUGGCUGUAGAUGUACUCCUUUCUGCAGCAAACCCAUCCACUUUUUUUUCCCAAAAGAAAUCCUUCUUUUGUUGUUACCUUAAUACUAGUUUACAGGGACAUGAAAGGAACUUCCUUACAGCCAUUCCUGUUGUGGUUUAUGAGUGUGGCAAAACAAAAAGGGCAGCUGAGGAAUGAGACAGGAGUGGCUGUAUGCAGUUUGAAAACUUUUGGUAUCCUACUAGCAGAAAAAGCAUCUGAUAUAUAGAAAGCUUGAUGGGGGGGAAAUACUAUAGUAUAGGUGCAGUGGGUUAGGAGAACCGAAAAUAAUACAAGUGGUGUAACAUAGGAAGCUAAUGCUAUGUGGACAUUAUUUUUGUGUUUUAUUUUGUUGUUACAGUAGCAUUUCUGUAAUUUGGAUUCUGGUAAAUUAUUUCUACAAUUAUAAAAUAGUGGUUUUCUUUUUAUCAGUUUAAGAUUCGUUCUUCAAGUUAGCUGACUGGGAAUCAGGCAACAUUCUAGCAGUUGUCUAGAGAUCCA